AUCCAUCUGCCGAGUCCCAAAUAGGAUAAAACGAGCGUCCUGGAU
Schistosoma curassoni is the source of this 45-nucleotide non-coding RNA. The record is from Rfam. NCBI's taxonomy places the organism in Eukaryota, Metazoa, Platyhelminthes, Trematoda, Strigeidida, Schistosomatidae.